GCGGGCGUGGCGGAAUGGCAGACGCUGCGGACUUAAACUCCGUUGGGGAGACCCGUGCGGGUUCGACUCCCGCCGCCCGCA
Molecule: transfer RNA, 81 nt
Filed under: Thermomicrobiales bacterium
Lineage: Bacteria; Pseudomonadati; Thermomicrobiota; Thermomicrobia; Thermomicrobiales
Description: tRNA-Leu
Rfam family: tRNA
About the family: Transfer RNA (tRNA) molecules are approximately 80 nucleotides in length. Their secondary structure includes four short double-helical elements and three loops (D, anti-codon, and T loops).
Source: RNAcentral